GACGGGACCGCACAAGCGGUGGAUGAUGUGGUUAAUUCGAUGCAACGCGAAAACCUUACCACCUUUGACAUGGCAGGAAUCCUAAAGAGAUUUGGGAGUGCUCGAAAGAGAACCUGCACACAGGUGCUGCAUGGCUGUCGUCAGCUCGUGUCGUGAGAUGUUGGGUUAAGUCCCGCAACGAGCGCAACCCUUAUCCCCAGUUGCCAUCAGGUAAAGCUGGGAACUCUGGGGAGACUGCCGGUGAUAAACCGGAGGAAGGCGGGGAUGACGUCAAGUCCUCAUGGCCCUUACAUCCCGGGCUACACACGUGCUACAAUGGCAGGUACAGAGGGCUGCGAAGCCGCGAGGUGGAGCGAAUCCCAGAAAACCUGUCUCAGUCCGGAUUGAAGUCUGCAACUCGACCUCAUGAAGGCGGAAUCGCUAGUAACCGCGAAUCAGCAGGUCGCGGUGAAUACGUUCCCGGGCCUU
Molecule: ribosomal RNA, 468 nt
Filed under: uncultured Latescibacterota bacterium
Lineage: Bacteria; Pseudomonadati; Candidatus Latescibacterota
Description: bacterial SSU rRNA
Rfam family: Bacterial small subunit ribosomal RNA
Source: RNAcentral